AAACGACUCUUGGCAACGGAUAUCUUGGCUCUUGCAUCGAUGAAGAACGUAGCGAAAUGCGAUACUUGGUGUGAAUUGCAGAAUCCCGUGAACCAUCGAGUCUUUGAACGCAAGUUGCGCCCGAAGCCUUCUGGCCGAGGGCACGUCUGCCUGGGCGUCAUGA
RNAcentral lists this ribosomal RNA (163 nucleotides) under Weddellina squamulosa. RNAcentral describes it as "5.8S ribosomal RNA". It matches the Rfam family "5.8S ribosomal RNA". Rfam says of the family: 5.8S ribosomal RNA (5.8S rRNA) is a component of the large subunit of the eukaryotic ribosome. Lineage: Eukaryota; Viridiplantae; Streptophyta; Magnoliopsida; Malpighiales; Podostemaceae. The record is from RNAcentral.